This 202-nucleotide unclassified non-coding RNA is filed under the name Hevea brasiliensis (rubber tree). Lineage: Eukaryota; Viridiplantae; Streptophyta; Magnoliopsida; Malpighiales; Euphorbiaceae. The record is from RNAcentral.
UCGAUCAUGUGUUUGAUCGUUUGAGACUCAAGCGCCACCGCCUCGUCGACCUCGAAGGGCUCACCGUCGCUGCUCUUCAAGGUGAUCUUCUUCGACGACGACAUCGUUUAGAGCGCAAACAAACGAAAAAAAACAAACAAAAAAUGACAAAAAAAAGGACCCUAGAGGCUUAAGCUGUUCGCUAGGCGUAUUUUCACAAACA